This 254-nucleotide ribosomal RNA is filed under the name uncultured bacterium. RNAcentral describes it as "partial 16S ribosomal RNA". It matches the Rfam family "Bacterial small subunit ribosomal RNA", at positions 524 to 776 of the family's 1533-position model. The record is from RNAcentral.
UACGUAGGGGGCUAGCGUUGUCCGGAUUUAUUGGGCGUAAAGAGCGUGUAGGCGGCCAGGUAGGUCUGCUGUGAAAACUCGAGGCUCAACCUCGAGACGUCGGCGGAAACCAUCUGGCUAGAGUCCGGAAGAGGAGAGUGGAAUUCCUGGUGUAGCGGUGAAAUGCGCAGAUAUCAGGAAGAACACCCGUGGCGAAGGCGGCUCUCGUGGGACGGUACUGACGCUGAGACGCGAAAGCGUGGGGAGCGAACAGG